UACAGAGGGUGCGAGCGUUAAUCGGAAUUACUGGGCGUAAAGCGCGCGUAGGUGGUUUGUUAAGUCGGAUGUGAAAGCCCAGGGCUCAACCUUGGAAUUGCACCCGAUACUGGCAAGCUAGAGUACGGUAGAGGGGUGUGGAAUUUCCUGUGUAGCGGUGAAAUGCGUAGAUAUAGGAAGGAACAUCAGUGGCGAAGGCGACACCCUGGACCGAUACUGACACUGAGGUGCGAAAGCGUGGGGAGCAAACAGG
Molecule: ribosomal RNA, 253 nt
Filed under: uncultured bacterium
Lineage: Bacteria
Description: partial 16S ribosomal RNA
Rfam family: Bacterial small subunit ribosomal RNA
Source: RNAcentral